UACGUAGGACCAGAGCGUUGUCCGGAUUUACUGGGUGUAAAGGGCGUGUAGGUGGGCGCUUAAGUCGAUGGUGAAAUCCUGCGGCUCAACCGUAGAAUUGCCGUUGAUACUGGGCGUCUUGAGUGCGGCAGAGGGAGAUGGAAGUCAUGGUGUAGCGGUGAAAUGUGUAGAUAUCAUGAAGAACACCGGUAGCGAAGGCGGUCUCCUGGUCCGUUACUGACACUGAGGCGCGAAAGCGUGGGGAGCAAACAG
This 252-nucleotide ribosomal RNA is filed under the name uncultured bacterium. RNAcentral describes it as "partial 16S ribosomal RNA". It matches the Rfam family "Bacterial small subunit ribosomal RNA", at positions 524 to 775 of the family's 1533-position model. The record is from RNAcentral.